RNAcentral lists this ribosomal RNA (248 nucleotides) under uncultured bacterium. RNAcentral's name for it is "partial 16S ribosomal RNA". It matches the Rfam family "Bacterial small subunit ribosomal RNA", at positions 87 to 334 of the family's 1533-position model. The record is from RNAcentral.
UUGGGCGACCGGCGCACGGGUGAGUAACGCGUAUGCAACUUACCUAUCAGAGGGGGAUAGCCCGGCGAAAGUCGGAUUAAUACCCCAUGAAACAGGGGUCCCGCAUGGGAAUAUUUGUUAAAGAUUCAUCGCUGAUAGAUAGGCAUGCGUUCCAUUAGGCAGUUGGCGGGGUAACGGCCCACCAAACCGACGAUGGAUAGGGGUUCUGAGAGGAAGGUCCCCCACAUUGGUACUGAGACACGGACCAA